RNAcentral lists this ribosomal RNA (508 nucleotides) under uncultured bacterium. Its description in RNAcentral is "partial 16S ribosomal RNA". It matches the Rfam family "Bacterial small subunit ribosomal RNA", at positions 30 to 523 of the family's 1533-position model. The record is from RNAcentral.
AUUGAACGCUGGUGGCAUGCCUUACACAUGCAAGUCGAACGGCAGCGGGGGAGAAGCUUGCUUUUCCUGCCGGCGAGUGGCGAACGGGUGAGUAAUACAUCGGAACGUGCCCGGUAGUGGGGGAUAACUAGUCGAAAGAUUAGCUAAUAACGCAUACGACCUGAGGGUGAAAGUGGGGGACCGCAAGGCCUCAUGCUAUAGGAGCGGCCGAUGUCUGAUUAGCUAGUUGGUGGGGUAAAGGCCUACCAAGGCGACGAUCAGUAGCUGGUCUGAGAGGACGAUCAGCCACACUGGGACUGAGACACGGCCCAGACUCCUACGGGAGGCAGCAGUGGGGAAUUUUGGACAAUGGGCGAAAGCCUGAUCCAGCAAUGCCGCGUGUGUGAAGAAGGCCUUCGGGUUGUAAAGCACUUUUGUCCGGAAAGAAAUGGCUCUGGUUAAUACCUGGGGUCGAUGACGGUACCGGAAGAAUAAGGACCGGCUAACUACGUGCCAGCCGCCGCAGUAA